Molecule: non-coding RNA, 98 nt
Organism: Acanthosepion pharaonis
Lineage: Eukaryota; Metazoa; Mollusca; Cephalopoda; Sepiida; Sepiidae
Source: the annotation of a GenBank genome assembly
AUUGAGACACCAGUCCUCGCAUGAUCACCAAAAUUAAGCAAUGUCAAGCUUGGUCAGUACCUAGAUGGGUGACUGCUUGGGAAUACCAGGUGUUGUAA